UAAGAAAGUAUUACAUUUCUUGCAAACCCAAUUAGACAUUCAAAAUAUGUUCAGCUCCCCUGAGCAUUAAAAAGAAUGAUCAGCGAAUCUUGGGCUUGGUCCUGAUUUGACAAUUUUAAGUUUUUAAGGUCGUUCUAAGUUCUUCAUUUGAAUUCUCCCAUAUGAAAUAAAAACAAUGCAAAAUGCCAGCUGAUUCUGAAACCUGCAUUGUGGAUCAUGCUGAUGACUUCCUGGAUCUUCCUGAUGUUGACUUGACAUCUCUCUUGCCUUUCUGAACCUGGAACCAGACUUAAUGAAUAUAUGGCAAGGUUCCUUCAGGAGCAAGGUUUUUUUCCUCUGGAGACUGAUUCUGUUCUUGCCCAUCUGAUUUAAUGCACAGGAAUAUUCCUGCUGAUUAAGGUACAUCAAAUCCUGGAAAGUUCUUGUCAACUGAUGUAGCUGAUGAGGACUCCAGGCUCACCGUGUGGUGUUGUCCCAAGAAACAGGAGACAAAGGAACUGUGUUUUCAAUAGUUGACUUUGAAGAUGACAUUUGUAUUUCUGAAUUAAAACCACAUUUGCCCAACGCUGCAAAGGGAGGAGGCAGGGGCAGAAGAGAGAGAAACCCUUUUGUUCUCCUCCUCAUGGUUCCCCCUCACCUGCCAGGGCCAAGCUCCAAAAUAAUUCUUAACAGCUGAGGUUAGCUGGGGACAUCUAAUCCCGGAAAGCUGUCUCUGAAUACCGGCACCAACACACAGCAUUUGAGUUUCACCAACAGUCAUUUACAUCUAAUUUCCCCAAACCUCUGAAGAAA
Tyto alba (common barn owl) is the source of this 792-nucleotide long non-coding RNA. RefSeq lists it as uncharacterized. Lineage: Eukaryota; Metazoa; Chordata; Aves; Strigiformes; Tytonidae. The transcript has 5 exons. The record is from RefSeq and is a predicted model, not a curated record.